GUUUACCAAAAACAUGGCUUCUUGAAACAGAACAAUAAGGAGUCGGACCUGCCCAGUGAAUAUUUUUAAACGGCCGCGGUACUCUGACCGUGCAAAGGUAGCAUAAUCAUUUGCCCUAUAAUUGAGGGCUAGUAUGAAUGGUUUGACAAGAGUAUUACUGUCUCCUAAUAAUUAUAUAGAAUUUUAUUUUUAGGUGAAGAAGCCUAAAUAUAAUUAAAAGACAAGAAGACCCUAUCGAGCUUUAAAUAAAUUAAUAAAUUGAAUGAAAUAUUUUAAACUAAAACAAUGUUUAUUAAAAAUUUUAGUUGGGGCGACAAAGGAACAAAACAAGCUUCCUCAAUGAUAAAUAUAAACUAAUUAGUGAUGAUCCAAAAACUUUGAUUAAUAGAAUUAGUUACCGUAGGGAUAACAGCAUUAUCUUUUUUAAGAGCUCAUAUCGAAAAAAAGGUUUGUGACCUCGAUGUUGGACCAGAAUAUCCUAAAGAUGCAGAAGUCUUUAAGGGUUGGUCUGUUCGACCAUUAAAAUUCUACGUGAUCUGAGUUCAGACCGG
This 551-nucleotide ribosomal RNA is filed under the name Casmaria ponderosa. RNAcentral's name for it is "partial 16S ribosomal RNA". It matches the Rfam family "Bacterial large subunit ribosomal RNA", at positions 1802 to 2619 of the family's 2925-position model. The record is from RNAcentral. Lineage: Eukaryota; Metazoa; Mollusca; Gastropoda; Littorinimorpha; Cassidae.